GACGAACGCUGGCGGCGUGCUUAACACAUGCAAGUCGAACGGUAAGGCCCUUCGGGGUACACGAGUGGCGAACGGGUGAGUAACACGUGGGUGAUCUGCCCUGCACUUCGGGAUAAGCCUGGGAAACUGGGUCUAAUACCGGAUAGGACUCCGGGCUUCAUGGUUGGGGGUGGAAAGCUUUUGCGGUGUGGGAUGGGCCCGCGGCCUAUCAGCUUGUUGGUUGGGUAAUGGCCUACCAAGGCGUCGACGGGUAGCCGGCCUGAGAGGGUGACCGGCCACACUGGGACUGAGAUACGGCCCAGACUCCUACGGGAGGCAGCAGUGGGGAAUAUUGCACAAUGGGCGCAAGCCUGAUGCAGCGACGCCGCGUGAGGGAUGACGGCCUUCGGGUUGUAAACCUCUUUCAGCACCGACGAAGCGCAAGUGACGGUAGGUGCAGAAGAAGGACCGGCCAACUACGUGCCAGCCGCCGCUGUAA
RNAcentral lists this ribosomal RNA (478 nucleotides) under uncultured bacterium. RNAcentral describes it as "partial 16S ribosomal RNA". It matches the Rfam family "Bacterial small subunit ribosomal RNA", at positions 28 to 523 of the family's 1533-position model. The record is from RNAcentral.